Molecule: ribosomal RNA, 454 nt
Filed under: uncultured Acidobacteriota bacterium
Lineage: Bacteria; Pseudomonadati; Acidobacteriota
Description: bacterial SSU rRNA
Rfam family: Bacterial small subunit ribosomal RNA
Source: RNAcentral
AGAGUUUGAUCAUGGCUCAGAAUCAACGCUGGCGGCGUGCCUAACACAUGCAAGUCGAACGAGAAAGGGGAGCAAUCCCUGAGUACAGUGGCGACCGGGUGAGUAACACGUGACUACCUACCCUUGAGUGGGGGAUAACCUCGGGAAACCGAGGCUAAUACCGCAUAAUAUCGAGAGAUCAAAGGAGCAACCCGCUCUUGGAGGGGGUCGCGGCUGAUUAGCUAGUUGGUGAGGUAAUGGCUCACCAAGGCGAAGAUCGGUAUCCGGCCUGAGAGGGCGCACGGACACACUGGAACUGAAACACGGUCCAGACUCCUACGGGAGGCAGCAGUGGGGAAUUUUGCGCAAUGGGGGAAACCCUGACGCAGCAACGCCGCGUGGAGGAUGAAGCUCCUUGGAGUGUAAACUCCUUUCGACCGGGACGAUAAUGACGGUACCGGUGGAAGAAGCACCG